GUCCAGUGUUGUCAGCUUCAGCAUAGUUUGCAAGGGGCUGAAAACGGCAGAAAUAAGGGAAACAUGGUUUACGAAUUAUGUUUAACCAUUUUCCAAUUCUCGGUAGCCUGCAGAACAGACUUCAUGGCUCAAGCUACCCUCAUUAACUGGCGGUUGAUUGGCUAACAAACAGCUGAACCUUCCUAGAUAUUGACAACGCUCUACAACUGUCUGUGCACGUUUUCCGUAGAAGUGUCAUGAAGACAUCCCAUAGGAUGGUGAAGGAGACAAAUUUCACAGAUAAAGGACACUACUAUCUGUAAUCUGAAGACCUCAAAAGCAUCUUAGUCAUAAACAUUAUCCUGAAACAGAUAAAUGGAAAUCAGAUAUGAGGGAAGGAAUGGAUUGGUCCAAGGUCACUUAAGUGAGGAACAGACCUAGGAGAAACAAAAUAAUCCAAGCUUGUUUCAUUAUUAUUUAAUGAAUGUUAAGUGUCCAUGGUUGCUAUACAGAACACAUAAAAUCUGCGAUCCUAUCUUAAAAGCACAUGCAAAAAAUCCUCAGCUUAGCUGCCAGCGAAGAAUUCCUACAGUUUAACCCAAGGGAAAGAGGUUUUUUUGUUUUUCUUUUUUGUUUUGUUUUCAGGAAACCAAAAUAUUUGUUGCUGGAUUUAUACAGGAAGGCUGUUGUACAUCAGUUAAAUUCAUAUUGUCAAGAAAUGUUAAAAUGACAGGGGUAAUGUUCUCUUUGUAUGCUAUAUUUUCCCA
RNAcentral lists this long non-coding RNA (746 nucleotides) under Marmota monax (woodchuck). The record is from RNAcentral. Lineage: Eukaryota; Metazoa; Chordata; Mammalia; Rodentia; Sciuridae.